CAGCAGCCGCGGGAACACGGAGGGUGCAAGCGUUAUCCGGAUUCACUGGGUUUAAAGGGUGCGUAGGCGGAUCUGUAAGUCAGUGGUGAAAUCUCCAGGCUUAACCUGGAAACUGCCGUUGAUACUAUAGGUCUUGAAUUUUGUGGAGGUUAGCGGAAUAUGUCAUGUAGCGGUGAAAUGCAUAGAUAUGACAUAGAACACCAAUUGCGAAGGCAGCUGGCUACACAACUAUUGACGCUGAGGCACGAAAGCGUGGGGAUCAAACAGGAUUAGAUACCCCGGUAGUCCCUGUCUCUUAUAA
RNAcentral lists this ribosomal RNA (301 nucleotides) under uncultured bacterium. RNAcentral describes it as "partial 16S ribosomal RNA". It matches the Rfam family "Bacterial small subunit ribosomal RNA", at positions 509 to 809 of the family's 1533-position model. The record is from RNAcentral.